This 399-nucleotide ribosomal RNA is filed under the name uncultured bacterium. RNAcentral describes it as "partial 16S ribosomal RNA". It matches the Rfam family "Bacterial small subunit ribosomal RNA", at positions 523 to 918 of the family's 1533-position model. The record is from RNAcentral.
AUACGUAGGAUCCGAGCAUUAUCCGGAGUGACUGGGUGUAAAGAGUUGCGUAGGUGGCAUAAUAAGUAGCUAGUGAAAUCUGGUGGCUCAACCAUUCAGGCUAUUAGCUAAACUGUUAAGCUCGAGACCGUUAGGGGUAACUGGAAUUUCUAGUGUAGGGUUGAAAUCCGUAGAUAUUAGAAAGAACACCGAUAGCGUAGGCAGGUUACUGGGACGGUUCUGACACUAAGGCACGAAAGCGUAGGGAGCAAACGGGAUUAGAUACCCCGGUAGUCUACGCCGUAAACGAUGGAUACUAGCAGUUUCGGGUAUCGACCCUCGGAGUUGCGAAGCUAACGCGUUAAGUAUCCCACCUGUGUAGUACGAUCGCAAGAUUAAAACUUAAAGGAAUUGACGGGG